GAGAUUGCUGCAGUAAUUGGUGGCUCUGAAAACACUGAGGAAAUGAGAGGCUUGUACGAAACAUCAGCCGACAAGAAACGGGGUGAUGUCAGACAGCCUUCCAGGAUUAGAAACCCUUAAAAGCUCCGAGCCCGCGGCCGCUGCGGAAAGCUGCUUGGCUCUCCGGAUACAUGUGAUGGUACGAAGAUGCUGGAGUCCAAGAUUCUUAGAAUGGCUGAGUUAGAGAGGCCGAUCCAUCACCUUAUCCAACCUACUUGGUCCCCAAGUGGCCAGGUUGAGGCUCAGAGAGGGCUAAGUGUGUGCCUCGUGUCACACAGCUUGCUCAUCUGACUCCAACGCUGGUACUGAGAUCCCCGGUCAAGUGAGAGGAGUUCAAGGGACGCCGCAGAAGGUCUCCCAGGAACCUCUCUGGUGCAUUGCUAACCACACCCAGGAAUAGAGCACGUGCUGGACCUUCAUGGAAUAUGUGACAGCCUCUCUCUGGCUCAGUUUCCUGAUUGGCUAGAUGAUAGCUCUGCUCCUGUGCUCUGCCGGUCUCAGUGUGUUAUUAUUAAGUUCGCUGCUUGGCAGAGAUAACCUGCUAACUCACAGGAAUA
This is a long non-coding RNA of Lemur catta (Ring-tailed lemur), 596 nucleotides long. RefSeq lists it as uncharacterized. The record is from RefSeq and is a predicted model, not a curated record. NCBI's taxonomy places the organism in Eukaryota, Metazoa, Chordata, Mammalia, Primates, Lemuridae. The transcript has 4 exons.